This 460-nucleotide ribosomal RNA is filed under the name uncultured Methylomirabilota bacterium. RNAcentral's name for it is "bacterial SSU rRNA". It matches the Rfam family "Bacterial small subunit ribosomal RNA", at positions 977 to 1434 of the family's 1533-position model. Lineage: Bacteria; Methylomirabilota (SeqCode). The record is from RNAcentral.
GGGCUUGACAUCCCACGAACCUGCCCGAAAAGGUGGGGUGCCCGCAAGGGAGCGUGGAGACAGGUGGUGCAUGGCUGUCGUCAGCUCGUGUCGUGAGAUGUUGGGUUAAGUCCCGCAACGAGCGCAACCCUCACCCCUAGUUGCCACCGGGUUAAGCCGAGCACUCAAGGGGAACUGCCAGCGUCAAGCUGGAGGAAGGCGGGGAUGACGUCAAGUCAUCAUGCCCCUUACGCCCUGGGCUACACACGUGCUACAAUGGCCAGCACAAAGGGACGCGAGACUGCGAAGUGGAGCUAAUCCCAAAAAGCUGGCCUAAGUUCAGAUUGCAGUCUGCAACUCGACUGCAUGAAGGAGGAAUCGUUAGUAAUCGCGUAUCAGCCCGGCGCGGUGAAUACGUUCCCGGGCCUUGUACACACCGCCCGUCACACCACGAAAGCUGUCUGUACUCGAAGUCGCUGAG